This is a small nucleolar RNA of Erinaceus europaeus (western European hedgehog), 81 nucleotides long. Its record names the gene SNORD116. It matches the Rfam family "Small nucleolar RNA SNORD116". From Rfam's summary of the family: HBII-85 is a member of the C/D class of snoRNAs, which contain the C (UGAUGA) and D (CUGA) box motifs. HBII-85 is encoded in a tandemly repeated array with another C/D snoRNA, HBII-52, in the Prader-Willi syndrome (PWS) region of chromosome 15. NCBI's taxonomy places the organism in Eukaryota, Metazoa, Chordata, Mammalia, Eulipotyphla, Erinaceidae. The record is from Ensembl.
CGAUCAAUGAUGACUCCUCACUCACACCAGCAUUCCUUGGGAAAGCUGAACAAAAUGAAAACUCCCUCCGAAGGGGGACCC